Molecule: ribosomal RNA, 446 nt
Filed under: uncultured bacterium
Lineage: Bacteria
Description: partial 16S ribosomal RNA
Rfam family: Bacterial small subunit ribosomal RNA
Source: RNAcentral
CCUACGGGUGGCAGCAGUCGAGAAUAAUUCACAAUGGGGGAAACCCUGAUGGUGCGACGCCGCGUGGGGGAAUGAAGGUCUUCGGAUUGUAAACCCCUGUCAUGUGGGAGCAAAUUAAAAAGAUAGUACCACAAGAGGAAGAGACGGCUAACUCUGUGCCAGCAGCCGCGGUAAUACAGAGGUCUCAAGCGUUGUUCGGAAUCACUGGGCGUAAAGCGUGCGUAGGCUGUUUCGUAAGUCGUGUGUGAAAGGCGCGGGCUCAACCCGCGGACGGCACAUGAUACUGCGAGACUAGAGUAAGGGAGAGGGAAGCGGAAUUCGCGGUGUAGCGGUGAAAUGCGUAGAUAUCGAGAGGAACACUCGUGGCGAAGGCGGGUUCCUGGACAUUAACUGACGCUGAGGCACGAAGGCCAGGGGAGCGAAAGGGAUUAGAUACCCCUGUAGUC